RNAcentral lists this ribosomal RNA (497 nucleotides) under uncultured bacterium. Its description in RNAcentral is "partial 16S ribosomal RNA". It matches the Rfam family "Bacterial small subunit ribosomal RNA", at positions 28 to 507 of the family's 1533-position model. The record is from RNAcentral.
GACGAACGCUGGCGGCGUGCCUAAUACAUGCAAGUUGAGCGCUGAAGGUUGGUACUUGUACCAACUGGAUGAGCAGCGAACGGGUGAGUAACGCGUGGGGAAUCUGCCUUUGAGCGGGGGACAACAUUUGGAAACGAAUGCUAAUACCGCAUAAAAACUUUAAACACAAGUUUUAAGUUUGAAAGAUGCAAUUGCAUCACUCAAAGAUGAUCCCGCGUUGUAUUAGCUAGUUGGUGAGGUAAAGGCUCACCAAGGCGAUGAUACAUAGCCGACCUGAGAGGGUGAUCGGCCACAUUGGGACUGAGACACGGCCCAAACUCCUACGGGAGGCAGCAGUAGGGAAUCUUCGGCAAUGGACGAAAGUCUGACCGAGCAACGCCGCGUGAGUGAAGAAGGUUUUCGGAUCGUCAAACUCUGUUGGUAGAGAAGAACGUUGGUGAGAGUGGAAAGCUCAUCAAGUGACGGUAACUACCCAGAAAGGGACGGCUAACUACGUG